RNAcentral lists this ribosomal RNA (253 nucleotides) under uncultured bacterium. Its description in RNAcentral is "partial 16S ribosomal RNA". It matches the Rfam family "Bacterial small subunit ribosomal RNA", at positions 524 to 776 of the family's 1533-position model. The record is from RNAcentral.
UACGGAGGGGGCUAGCGUUGUUCGGAAUUACUGGGCGUAAAGCGCACGUAGGCGGCUUUGUAAGUUAGAGGUGAAAGCCUGGGGCUCAACUCCAGAAUUGCCUUUAAAACUGCAUCGCUUGAAUCCAGGAGAGGUGAGUGGAAUUCCGAGUGUAGAGGUGAAAUUCGUAGAUAUUCGGAAGAACACCAGUGGCGAAGGCGGCUCACUGGACUGGUAUUGACGCUGAGACGCGAAAGCGUGGGGAGCGAACAGG